Molecule: small nuclear RNA, 107 nt
Organism: Cercocebus atys (sooty mangabey)
Lineage: Eukaryota; Metazoa; Chordata; Mammalia; Primates; Cercopithecidae
Source: Ensembl
AUGCUCACUUUGGCAGCACAUGUACUAAAACUGGAACAAUAUUGAGAAGAUUAACAUGGUUCCUGUGCAAGGAUGACACAAAAAUUCAUGAAGCAUUCGUAUUUUUA